This 171-nucleotide ribosomal RNA is filed under the name Chromis acares (midget chromis). Its description in RNAcentral is "partial small subunit ribosomal RNA". The record is from RNAcentral. Lineage: Eukaryota; Metazoa; Chordata; Actinopteri; Pomacentridae.
CACCGCGGUUAUACGAUGGGGCUCAAGUUGACAGACAUGCGGCGUAAAGAGUGGUUAAGGAAAUUUUUAAACUAAAGCCGAACGCCUACAGAACUGUUAUACGUUUAUGAAGGUAUGAAGCACAACCACGAAAGUGGCUUUACUCCCCCUGACCCCACGAAAGCUGUGAAA